This 3731-nucleotide long non-coding RNA is filed under the name Gallus gallus (chicken). RNAcentral's name for it is "lncRNA (ENSGALG00010019469.1)". Lineage: Eukaryota; Metazoa; Chordata; Aves; Galliformes; Phasianidae. The record is from RNAcentral.
CUGAUCCACUGAUGUCAAAGAAGCUCUUCAAUUGAAUUCUGUAAGAACUGGGCCAAGUCCCCAGAUCGUGUGUGCCACUGCUGCUAUGGAGAGCAUCACACCUGGAGUUACAGAGUGUGCAAAACUUAUAAAAACCUUUUGUCAACCAGCAAUUAUAAUACCUCUGUUACACGGAGCAUGCAGAUAAAACUGUCAGAAAAGGCAAUUAAAUGGGACACGUUUUUAAUAUUCUACCUUCCAAAGGAGAAACAUUUUAUCUUCUCAAAAUUUCAGAGUAUCACAUUAACAAACUGUUGACAUAUUAAAGCCAUUAUUAAGAAACACGAUGCUGAAAGGAAAAUAAGAAUUACCGAUCAGUUAUUACAGUUCAAAUAUUUUUCUUACUUAGCAGCUGUGACGAAGUUGCACUCCUGUUACUUCUGCCAAUGAAUGCACUGAAAAAAACAGUACAUCAGAUUUCAGUGAGGUUUUCUGACACUACUUCCUUCAGAAAGAACCAGAUUCUACAACCUGCUCACCUGCCCAGCUAUUGAGAACGGGGCUGUAGGAGCUGGGAGGCAAGCAGGAGACAUCACCAGCCAUAGAGCACCCAUUCAAAAUGCAUCUGGACUUGCCAUUGUGAAGUAUUGCUGUUCUGUUAUGGCGGCAGGGGACAUGUUGGACAUGAAUGACUGGUAGGGAUGGCAACGAAACAUCUAUCAAAAUAUUUCUCAGCAGCUCAGAUGUUUUUUCUAGAUCAAAAAGUGUUUUCUUUCUAGGAGAAAUGUAUCCACCUUGUCAAAGAUGAGCACAUCUCAGUUCACUCCUCACAAAGAGUAGGGACGUAUUCUAUCCAGGUGUAUUCUGUCCCAUGCUCACAGCACCUCCCAGCCCUGCUUCUCCCUCACUGCUGUGUCCCACACACAGGACCUCCAUGGAGGAGGGUGCCAGGACAGAUUCUCCCACAAAGCUUGGCCACAGGUCAUGGUCUGAAAGUUACUCAGAGAAAAGAGCAGGAAUAAUACUUUCUUUUUCCCCCUCUGCUCAGUGAUUUCAGUACAACUCAAGCUCCUAACUGCUGUAGGGAUCCAGGCCAAAACAUAUUCAGUAAUAGAUACUGAAACAGACUAUUUCAUGUGCCAGUUCGGUAGGUUAAUUCACAUAAGCGAGAAAACAGUUCUGACUGAAGGGAGGAGUGAUUUUAAAACGUUGAUUCAUACAGAAGUGUUAGCAGCCUUGUGCUUAUACCCACCAUCACUGAACAGAACAGAAUCGGCAGCAAUGUUAUUUCCAAGUUCUGUGGUGUAAAUAAAACCCCUCUCUCUGACUCACAGUGAGUCAUUUUUGUCUGUAUGUGUUUAUGUCGAGGGAGAUAUAACUUGGUGCUCUGAGCAUUCUUCUUGACAAGAUCUUUUUGUGUCUCUUUUUCUCUUGCUUUUCUGUGAACUUUUGAGAUCUUUCUUGCCAGUGAUCUCCUUCUUGCUUAGCGUAACCUCAUCCCACUUGUUCAGCUUUCUGGCACAAGUGAAAAAAGACAUGAAGUUAUAUUGGCUGCAGUGUUGGCACGUUAUAGGGAAUUAUAUACAAAAUGAGAGAAUUUAAGUACCAAAGGCUGUAUGAAAGCAGCAACAUCUAGGCAAACUGACACCUAGUGUGUACAGUAACUGCGGGGCAUCUUCUGUUACUUCAGAUGAAGGUGUCUGAACAUCUCUUUUUUAAGGACCUCGCUGUUCACAGUUUUUUACCAUACCAUCAUGAUUUAUGCUCACAGCGGCCAGUCCCAGCCUUCAGAAAUGCAAAAGCAUGCUUAGCCCUUGCAACGGGGAAAGGAACAGAAACUAAGCCCAACCACAUCCCCAGUGCACAUCUGUAAUAUGUUUCUAUUUCUAGCCUUCCUUCUGAGCCCUGGGAGGUAAGGUGAGAUAUGACUGCUCCUGGGAAACAAUGGGGGAGUGUGUGUGACCAUAGCCCUCCACGCUGCCGUGGUGGUGUGGCCAUGUCAGUCACUCAUAUCACCUUUGAUAUCAGAGUCUGGCCUCAAUGAACCUGCUCAAUAUCUGCUGCAUGCUGCACUGUUUGGGGAUGAUCCCACCAGAGUUGCCAAGCUGUUUUCAAAAGACAGAGUGGAGAAGUCAUUACUUUGUCCAUGGCCUUCUCUUCAUUGUGCAGCUCUGGAAGAGCCUCCCAAAGUUCUGCACUCCCUCACUGUCCUGCCUGUGUGUGUGCUGUCCCCACCGCAGCCUGGAGCUCCUUGCUUGCGGUGACCAAAAUGGCUCAGGCCUGUCUACGAGGGCUGAGAAGGAUGGAUGGACUUCUGCAGGGGAUGAAAGACAGUGCCUUUCCCUGCUGCAUGGUGUUGUUCCAACCUAAGUGCUAAGUGAGACAAGAUUCUAAUGAGAAAAGCUCAUAUGUCGCCAGGUGAGUAUGAAAAAAUAUGUAUCAUAAGGACAUAAUCUAGGGAGGGCUGAGAUUAACAGUUCAUAAAUAAAAAAUGUAAAUAUGCAAAACAAAACAGUCUGUACAUACACAAGAGAACUGCUUUUUGGAGUACACCAUAAAUGCAGCAGUUAAUCUAAGCCAAGAGCUAUGCUAGGUUGUUAAUUCCAGCAGAUUAUGAUGAUCACUCUUCUUUUUUGCUCUCUGUGAAAUAAAUGUCUCAUGUGGAGGUUUUAAACAAGUCAGUCCUAUUUGCCAAACAAAUCCAACGUUCAAAGAGAUUGUGAACAUUAGCAGGCAAUGAUUUUUCCGUUUAUUGAUUCCCUGUAAGGAAAAAAAAUAAAUAAAUAGUGGGUAUUAGAGGAAUACCACAUGUACUAGCUCACUCAUAACACACCUGAGGGCAUGUGAACACGUUUGUUUUACCCCACUUAACAUACCUGUUUUUUCCCACUGCUCGUAUGAGAAAGGCAAGAUGUUUCAGUGGGCACAGCUCUUUAUAAUCCAGUGCCAACAGCAGAAUAUGAGACACCAAUAGAGCCGCUCACAGGUGUCUUCUCAGCAUUUCUUAAGUGUUCCUAGGAAGGCAGAUGCCCUCAGGAAGAAGGUAAUUUACGUACCAGUUCUACCUGUACACCUGUUUGCAAUGCAGAUACGCGGCUUUAUGCUGAGCGCUGAGCCAAUAGGAAGCUCACACACAGCACUGACUGCUGAUAAUUAAAGAAACCUUCAGGAGUAUCAUAUAAUAUCUGGCACGGGAUCCUCUCAUCCAUCCAGCAAAGGCUGCUCUGCCAUGCACUUUCCGUACCACUCUACUCGCUUCCGUAACAAUUAAGACAGUGUAUCUGUGAAUCAUGGUUUCCACUGCAACGUUCAGUGCACCGCUUGUGUGUUAUUGUUGUCUGAUGGCUCCUUCUUUAGUCUGCAGAGGGGAUCACUCUAUUACUGCAGUUCAGACAGCUCACAGGUUGGCCCUUGCCCCUCUCUUUCAUAAAGUAAGUAUAAUUAGAUGAUAAUGCCCUUCUUGUCAAAUCUUACCGCUUAUUUAAGCCUGCAGUAAUAAUUUCAAUUUAUUAAAGAUUUAUUCAGAUAAAAUUAUUAUCACUGUUUAUUCAAAUGGACAUUCUUUUUCUUUUUUUUAUGUUAUUUUUCUUUUUUUCUCUUCUCUUCUCUUCUCUUCUCUUCUCUUCUCUUCUCUUCUCUUCUCUUCUCUUCUCUUCUCUUCUCUUCUCUUCUCUUCUCUUCUCUUCUCUUCUCUUCUCUUCUCUUCUCUUUUUUUUUUUUCCCCCUCUUUUUCCAAGGAAACAAAAGCUAUA